Zea mays is the source of this 9061-nucleotide RNA transcript. RefSeq lists it as uncharacterized. The record is from RefSeq and is marked validated. The transcript has 23 exons. Lineage: Eukaryota; Viridiplantae; Streptophyta; Magnoliopsida; Poales; Poaceae.
ACGAAGACAGAAGGUAAAAGUGAGAUCGGAAGCAAGCAACAGCUUGGAAAACGGGCAGAAAAAUAAAACGGAAAAGGAGCCAACCAAACCGAUCGGUCGACCGAUCAAUCUCAAUCGAAGCACCAGGAAAACUCGCGCAACACAAAUCUCAACAAUUAUCCGGCUGGUGCGCCGGCGAGCACCGUCCUCCGGCGACCGGCUGGGCAGCAGCAGCAAAGGGGGAUCUUGUCACGCUUCGAGAUCGGUCGCCGCGCUGGGGGCGACUCACUCGCGCCACUCUUCCCCUUCCCUGCGCUGGUGGCGGAACCCUAAUGCCGGCCCGAGUCUAGCCGCCAUGGACUUUGCCAGCCGCCACGCCGCAGCGGAGGCGGCCACAUCGGCAUCCGCCGCUGCCCCCGCGGGCGUCGCCGAGGAGCCCGAGUACCUCGCCCGGUACCUCGUCGUCAAGCACUCUUGGAGGGGAAGGUACCGCCGGGUCCUUUGCAUCGCCUCUUCCGGCGUCGUCACGCUCGACCCCACCACGCUCAACCUCACCAACUCCUACGAUGCCCGCUCCGAGUUCGACCACGCUGAGGCUCUCACCGCCACCGACGAGUUCACGCUCGCAGUCCGCACCGAUGCCCGCAGCAAGUUCAAGCCCAUGCGCUUCUCGUCGCCGCUCCGCCCGGGGAUCCUCACCGAACUCCACCGCCUCCGCCCGGUCCAGGCCUCCUUCGACUUCCCCGUUCUCCACCUCCGCCGACGCACCCACGAAUGGUCCUCCUUCAAAUUUAAGGUCACUCCUGUGGGUGUUGAGCUCCUUGAGGCUUCUGGUGAUAUACGCUGGUGCUUGGACUUCAGAGAUAUGAAUUCUCCGGCAAUUGUACUCUUGGGGGAUAGCUAUGGGAGGAAGACUUCUGAAGGUGGAGGGUUUGUGCUAUGCCCUCUUUAUGGUAGGAAGUCAAAAGCUUUUAUGGCUGCUUCAGGAACUACAAACACUGCAAUUAUAUCGCAUAUGACGAAAACUGCCAAAUUAAAGAUUGGAUUAUCACUAUCUGUGGAUAACUCACAAUCAAUGAAAGCGGAUGACUUCAUAGCAAAAAGAGCUAUGGAGGCAGUUGGAGCUGCUGAAACACGGCAUGGAGAGUGGUCGGUAACAAGAUUACGUUCUGCUGCGCGUGGCACUGCUAAUAUUGAGAGCUUAAGUUUGGGUGUUGGACCAAGGGGUGGGCUUGGAGAACAGGGUGAUUCUGUCUCUCGUCUGCUUGUUCUUACAAGUACUUCACUUGUUGAAAGACGUCCAGAGAACUAUGAGGCUGCCAUUGUACGACCACUCUCAGCAGUAAGUGCUCUUGUUCGAUUUGCUGAAGAGCCACAGAUGUUUGCAUUUGAAUUCAAUGAUGGCUGCCCAAUUCAUGUAUAUGCAAGCACUUCCCGUGAUAAUCUACUUGCAACAGUUCUUGACAUUUUACAAACCCAGAGACAGUGUGCAAUUCCAGUGCUACCAAGGUUAACAAUGCCUGGUCAUCGGAUAGAUCCGCCUUGCGGGGUAUCACAUCUUCAGAUGCCCCAUCAUAGUUCUGUUGAUAUGGAGUCUGCUACCAUGCACAUAAAACAUCUGGCUGCAGCUGCUAAAGAGGCUGUAGCGUCAUCUGACACUGUUCCUGGAGCAAAAAUCAGAUUGUGGCGUAGAAUAAGGGAGUUUAAUGCAUGUGUACCAUACACUGGAGUGCCUGUCAAUAUUGAAGUACCUGAAGUGGUCUUAAUGGCCUUAAUCAGCCUUCUUCCGACCAUACCACAUAGCCUUCCUGCUGAUGCUCCUCCUCUUCCGCCUCCAUCUCCAAAAGCAGCAGCAACAAUAAUGGGUUUUGUUGCAUGCUUACACAGGCUACUUACAUCAAGAAGUAUGGCAUCACAUAUGAUGGCGUUUCCUGUCGCUGUUGGGAGAAUAAUGGGUUUGCUUAGGAAUGGUUCGGAAGGAGUAGCUGCUGAAGCUGCUGGACUUGUGGCUAUGCUAAUUGGUGGUGGUCCUUGUGAUUCAUCUAUCUUAAUGGAUACAAGGGGAGAAUCCCAUGCCACCUACAUGCAUGCAAAGUCUGUACUAUUCUCGCAACCAAUGUAUGUUCCGAUCCUUGUUAACCGGUUGAGGCCAAUAUCGGUGUCACCAUUGUUAUCUCUGUCUGUUGUGGAAGUCCUUGAAGCUAUGCUUUGUGAACCCCAUGGUGAAACGACCCAACAUGCUACAUUUGUUGAGCUACUGCGGCAAGUUGCUGGUUUGCGCCGCCGUUUGUUUUCAUUAUUUGCACAUCCAGCUGAAAGUGUGCGAGAGACUAUUUCUGUUAUAAUGCGUACAAUUGCUGAGGAAGAUGCAAUAGCAGCAGAGUCCAUGCGUGACGCUGCCUUGAAGGAUGGUGCUCUUCUGAGGCAUUUACUAAAUGCUUUCUUCUUUCCUGCUGGAGAACGGCGUGAUGUUAGUCGGCAACUUGUUGCUCUUUGGGCUGAUUCCUAUCAACCUGCACUUGAUUUGCUAUCAAGAAUACUUCCUCCUGGACUUGUUGCUUAUCUGCAUACACGUUCAGAUGAAGAUUCACGGAGCCAGUAUGAUGAAGCACCGUUGAGCAGAAGGCAGAGACGAAUACUUCAGCAGAGGAGGGUUCAUGGUACUAAAACUAUGGCAGUACAAGAACAAGGGAUACCCCCCAAUGGUGUUGAGGAUGGGGAACCCUUCAGGCACACCAGUGCCGGCACUUACGGAGGAGCAGAUGUUCAUCAGAGGCAUGUUGGCCUGUACUCUUCCACCCACUCUCCUUCGCCAGGUAUAAACAUUGAUCCUUCUCACACUGUUUCAGUUCCACAUGGUUCUGUACCUGAGGCCCUUUCUGAAAAUAAUCAACAAAUCGAGGCACCACAGCUGGAUUCACAUGUUUAUUCAGUGGACUCCAAUGCCAAUGGCAAUCUUGUGAGCUCAUUGCAUUCAGAUUUUUCAGUCCCUGCACAGGUUGUGGUGGAAAACACUCCUGUGGGAUCUGGCAGGCUCCUGUGCAAUUGGUAUGGAUUUUGGAGGGCAUUCAGUCUAGAUCACAACAGAGCAGAUUUGAUAUGGAAUGAACGCACUAGAGGGGAAUUGAGGGCAGCAUUGCAAGCUGAAGUUCAUAACUUGGAUGUCGAGAAAGAAAGAACAGAUGACAUUGUCCUUGGAAGUUCAGUCACUGAGGAUGCUGCUGGUAGUGACAACUUACCUCGAAUUUCAUGGAAUUAUGCUGAAUUUUCAGUGAGUUACCCAAGCUUGUUCAAAGAAGUCUGUGUGGGGCAAUACUAUUUGCGGCUCCUGCUUGAAAGCGGAAGCAACUAUCGAGCACAGGAUUUUCCAUUACGUGAUCCUGUUGCCUUUUUUAGAGCUCUGUACCAUCGAUUUUUGUGUGACGCAGAUAUUGGUCUUACUGUGGAUGGUGCAGUACCUGAUGAGUUGGGAUCAUCUGAUGAUUGGUGUGACAUGGGGAGAUUAGAUGGCUUUGGUGGUGGUGGAGGAUCUUCUGUGAGAGAACUUUGUUCUAGGGCAAUGGCUAUAGUUUAUGAGCAACAUUAUAAAGUUAUUGGGCCUUUUGAUGGCACUGCACAUAUUACUGUCCUCUUAGACCGAACAGAUGAUAGGGUGUUGAGGCAUCGUUUGCUACUACUUUUAAAGGCCUUGAUGAAUGACCUUUCAAAUGUUGAAGCAUGUGUUUUGGUUGGAGGCUGUGUUUUGGCUGUUGAUUUGCUUACUGUUGCACAUGAAACAUCCGAACGGACAGCUAUUCCUUUGCAAUCUAACCUCAUCGCGGCAACUGCAUUUAUGGAACCUUCAAAAGAGUGGAUGUACAUUGAUAAAGAUGGCACACAAGUUGGGCCACUUGAAAAGGAUGCAAUAAGAAGGCUGUGGUCAAAGAAGUCAAUUGAUUGGACAAUAAAAUGUUGGGCUUCUGGUAUGUCUGACUGGAAAAGGUUACGGGAUAUACGGGAACUGCGAUGGGCACUUUCUGUAAGAGUACCUGUUUUGACUCCUACCCAGAUUGGGGACACUGCAUUAUCUAUAUUACACAGUAUGGCAUCUGCACGCUCUGAUCUUGAUGAUGCAGGUGAAAUAGUAACUCCAACUCCUAGGGUGAAACAUAUAUUGUCAAGUCCAAGAUGCCUUCCUCAUGUGGCCCAGGCUAUGCUUACUGGGGAACCCAGCAUCGUUGAAGCAGCUGCCUCAUUGCUUAAGGCUAUUGUUACAAGAAAUCCUAAAGCUAUGAUUCGAUUAUAUAGUACUGGUGCCUUUUACUUUGCAUUGGCGUAUCCUGGUUCAAAUCUCCUAUCAAUUGCACAGUUGUUUUCGGCCACACAUACUCAUCAAGCUUUUCAUGGUGGUGAAGAGGCAGCACUAUCUUCAUCUUUGCCUUUGGCAAAGCGUAGUGUACUGGGUGGACUACUCCCAGAAUCUUUGCUGUAUGUCUUGGAGCGCAGUGGCCCUUCUGCUUUUGCGGGUGCAAUGGUGUCUGAUUCUGACACACCAGAAAUUAUAUGGACCCACAAGAUGCGAGCAGAAAACCUUAUUCGUCAGGUCCUGCAGCAUCUCGGUGACUUUCCUCAGAAAUUAGCACAGCAUUGCCAUUCGUUGUAUGAUUAUGCUCCUAUGCCACCCGUGACUUAUCCGAAUCUGAAAGAUGAGAUGUGGUGCCAUCGUUACUACCUCCGUAACCUAUGUGAUGAAAUUAGGUUUCCUAACUGGCCCAUUGUAGAACACGUGGAGUUUUUGCAGUCAUUGUUGGUAAUGUGGCGUGAAGAGUUAACUCGUCGUCCAAUGGAUUUAUCUGAAGAAGAAGCCUGUAAGAUACUGGAGAUUUCACUUGAUGAUCUCGUGCUUGUUGAGAACGGUAGCAGCAAGCGGCCAUCUGACUUAAGUUCGGCUAAUUCCGGAAACAAAACUGAAAACAUUGAUGAAGAGAAGCUUAAGCGCCAAUACCGAAAGCUAGCAAUAAAAUAUCAUCCAGACAAGAACCCUGAAGGAAGGGAGAAGUUUGUUGCUGUGCAAAAGGCCUAUGAGCGAUUGCAGGCUAGUAUGCAGGGAUUGCAGGGACCACAAGUCUGGAGGCUGCUACUCUUGCUGAAGGCACAAUGCAUCUUGUACAAGAGAUAUGGGGAUGUCUUGGAACCAUUCAAAUAUGCUGGUUAUCCUAUGUUGCUAAAUGCAGUUACUGUAGAUAAGGAUGACAGCAAUUUUCUUUCAUCUGAUAGGGCCCCUCUUCUUAUAGCUGCUUCAGAGCUGAUUUGGCUGACAUGUGCAUCAUCUUCAUUAAAUGGAGAAGAACUUAUAAGGGAUGGUGGUAUCCCCUUGUUGGCAACACUUCUUUCUCGCUGUAUGUGCAUUGUUCAGCCCACAACACCGGCAAAUGAACCAGCUGCAAGAAUAGUCACCAACAUAAUGCAUACUUUCUCUGUCCUCAGUCAGUUUGAGUCAGGAAGAGUUGAGGUUCUUAAGUUUGGUGGCCUUGUUGAGGACAUUGUGCAUUGUACAGAACUUGAAUUUGUUCCUUCAGCUGUGGAUGCUGCACUGCUGACAGCUGCAAAUGUUUCGGUGUCAUCUGAGUUGCAAAAUGCUUUGCUCAGGGCUGGAUUUUUAUGGUAUGUGCUACCCCUGCUGCUUCAGUAUGAUUCGACAGCAGAAGAGAAUGAGAUAUGUGAGGCACAUGGUGUUGGGGCAAGGGUGCAGAUUGCUAAAAAUCUGCAUGCUGUUCAUGCAACUCAGGCUUUGUCUAAGCUUUCUGGUCUCAGCAGCGAUGAUAUACUGUACCCAGAUAACAAACCUGCAUACAAUGCGCUAAAGGCUCUUCUUACUCCAAAGCUUGCUGACAUGCUGAGAAACCACCCACCUAAAGAGUUAUUAUCAAAUCUGAAUUCAAAUUUGGAAUCACCAGAGAUCAUAUGGAAUUCGUCCACCAGAGGGGAGCUUCUCAAAUUUGUAGACCAGCAGCGUGCUAGUCAAGGCCCUGAUGGUUCAUAUGAUUUGACAGAAUCACAGUCUUUCACCUAUGAAGCUUUAUCCAAAGAAUUGAUCGUUGGUAAUGUAUACUUGAGAGUUUACAACAAUCAACCGGAUUUUGAAAUAAGUGACCAGGAGGAAUUUUGCAUUGCCCUGCUCAAGUUUAUAGCAGAGUUAGUACAACAGUGGAAUUCCGUUAACUUGGAGGAGACGAUUCAUCAACAUGGUUCAGUUAUUGAAGCAUCUAUUUCUGAAAAUGAUCAAGUCAGUGAUUCAACUAUUGAAGGAAAAAUGGACAAUUCAUCAGGAAAACAAAGUACAGAUGGAGAUUCUGAAGUUAUUAUAAACCUCCAAUGUGGGCUAACAUCACUUCAGAAUCUUCUUACAAGUAAUCCAGGCUUAGCUGCUGUUUUUGCUACCAAGGAGCGUCUGGUUCCUCUUUUUGAAUGCCUUGCACUCCAUGUUUCUCCUGAAAGCAGCAUCCCACAAAUCUGUUUAAGUAUUCUUUCUCUGUUGACUAAGCAUGCUCCUUGUUUGGAGGCUAUGGUUGCAGAAAGGAUGAGCCUCAUUUUGCUAUUUCAGAUACUCCACUGCAAUCCUCCUUGCAGGGAUGGAGCUCUUGCUGUACUAUAUUCUUUAGCCAGCACACCAGAGCUUGCCUGGGCUGCUGCCAAGCAUGGUGGUGUUGUUUACAUUCUUGAACUUAUGUUGCCACUUCAAGAGGAAAUCUCUAUGCAGCAAAGAGCUGCUGCUGCAUCUUUAUUGGGCAAACUUGUUGGACAACCAAUGCAUGGCCCCAGGGUGGCAAUCACCCUUGCCAGGUUCCUGCCUGAUGGUUUGGUUUCUGCCAUUAAAGAUGGACCUGGUGAAGCUGUUGUUUCUUCUCUUGAACAGACAACGGAAACUCCUGAACUAGUAUGGACACCCGCAAUGGCAGCUUCUCUUUCUGCACAGUUAGCAACAAUGGCAUCAGACCUCUACCAAGAGCAGAUGAAAGGACGUGUUGUUGAUUGGGAUGUACCUGAACAAGCAUCUGGGCAACAUGUAAUGAAGGACGAACCACAGGUUGGUGGAAUUUAUGUUAGACUUUUUCUUAAGGACCCCAAAUUUCCACUGAGAAACCCUAAAAGAUUCCUUGAAGGGCUCCUAGAUCAAUAUGUCUCCUCUGUUGCUGCUACGCAUUAUGAAGCAAUUGCUACAGACCCAGAGCUUCCUUUACUACUGUCUGCGGCAUUGGUUUCCUUACUACGAGUUCAUCCAGCACUUGCUGACCAUGUUGGCUACCUCGGUUAUGUUCCAAAGCUUGUUGCGGCUAUGGCUUAUGAGGGAAGAAGGGAGACUAUGGCAUCUGGGCAGGCUACCAGUGCAUCGAAGGCAGAACCUAGCGAACAUGACAACUCAGCUCACUCCGAGGCCACUGUACAGACUCCACAAGAACGUGUUCGCCUUAGUUGUUUGCGUGUUCUGCAUCAGCUUGCGUCUAGUACAACUUGUGCAGAAGCUAUGGCAGCAACAAGUGCAGGAACUCCUCAGGUUGUACCACUGCUUAUGAAAGCAAUUGGAUGGCAAGGUGGAAGUAUACUGGCAUUGGAGACAUUAAAGCGUGUAGUUGGUGCUGGUAAUCGGGCUCGUGAUGCUCUUGUUGCACAGGGGCUUAAGGUUGGUCUUGUUGAAGUACUCCUUGGUAUUCUUGAUUGGCGUGUUGGUGGAAGACAGGGGCUCUGUAAUCAAAUGAAGUGGAAUGAAUCAGAGGCUUCAAUUGGACGUGUUUUGGCUGUGGAGCCUUAUCGUCCCUCGACUCUUAUCUACAAGUGAAGGGCUUAUUUUGACAUCGCAUGAGGAUAAGGCUGAUGAGUUGUUCCAUUUCUAUGAUGCCUUGCUCGGGACUACUUUGGGGAGAGAAAAUUCUCUUAAUCUUGAUGCCCUGGAGAUGCCUUCUUUCAAUCUCAAUGAGCUAGAUGUGCCUUUCUCAGAGGAAGAAGUUUGGGGUACUGUAAAAUCUAUGCCGUCGGAUAAAGCUCCGGGCCCGGAUGGUUUCACCGGCCGUUUCUACAAGGUUUGUUGGGUAACAAUCAAAGCUGAUGUUAUGGCAGCGAUCUCUUGUGUUUGGGCUCGGAAAUUUAGGAACAUGGGGCUGCUCAAUUCAGCGUUUAUCACUCUUCUGCCUAAGGUUGAGGGUGCAACCCAAGUGAAAGAUUUUCGUCCGAUCAGCCUUGUCCAUAGUUUCGCAAAGUUAGUAACAAAGAUGAUGGCCAACAGAUUGGCUCGGCAUUUGAAUGAUAUGGUUUCUCCGAAUCAAACAACGUUCAUUAAGAAAAGAUUUAUCUUAGACAAUUUCAUGCUUGUGCAGCACACUGCAAGGUUUCUUCAUCGUCAAAGGUGCUUCAUGCUUUUGCAACCGAAGGUGCACAUUGUGCUAGAGUUCGUGAAGUCCUGAAUUCCUCUGAUGUAUGGAGUGCUUACAAAGACCAGAAGCACGACCUUUUCCUUCCAUCCAAUGCACAAUCUUCUGCUGCUGGAAUUGCUGGGCUCAUUGAGAGCUCAUCAUCAAGACUCACUUACGCCCUCACCGCACCGCCACCACAACCUUCAUUGGUCCGUCUGCCAUCUUCUUCUCCCUCUCCACCAUCAGCUCCUGCAAACCCUAGUGGACGGCAUUCUUAUCAGCGUUUGUAGUGCAAAACGGAACAUGUUAAUCUCAACCCGGAGUGUGAACCAUGAAGGCACCAUGGUAACGGUUUCUAGAGUGAGGCCACCUUGAGUGGGCUUGUUACUGCCACCAAAUACAGAUUGUGCGGUUGUGCCUCCAUUCCCCACCAAUGAGCAGCUGUCAGUGGCUGCAUUUCAGUACAUAGCAUUGUACAGUUUUCCAUUACAACGGGGUCAGGGUCGGGGUCGGUUUUGCGUUUGUUCAUGUAAAGCAUAUGAUCUUUUUUGUAACAUAAUAGAUGUCAAUAGAAUAAUGGAGCUGGAAAUUGUAGUAUCGAUUCAUUGCUGGGUCCUGGGUGGAUGCACUCCCUUGUUAGGAUAACACGACUUUCUUGGACAAGAGAAAUGGAUGUUUUUUGUUUUGUUUGAUCA